Molecule: ribosomal RNA, 498 nt
Filed under: uncultured bacterium
Lineage: Bacteria
Description: partial 16S ribosomal RNA
Rfam family: Bacterial small subunit ribosomal RNA
Source: RNAcentral
GACGAACGCUGGCGGCGUGCCUAAUACAUGCAAGUCGAGCGGGGCCUUCGGGCCUAGCGGCGGACGGGUGAGUAACACGUAGGCAACCUGCCUGUAAGCCGGGGAUAACGUCGGGAAACCGAUGCUAAUACCGGAUAAGUGAUGUCUUCGCAUGAAGAGAUCUUAAAAGACGGAGCAAUCUGUCGCUUACGGAUGGGCCUGCGGCGCAUUAGCUAGUUGGUGGGGUAACGGCUCACCAAGGCGACGAUGCGUAGCCGACCUGAGAGGGUGAUCGGCCACACUGGGACUGAGACACGGCCCAGACUCCUACGGGAGGCAGCAGUAGGGAAUCUUCGGCAAUGGGCGAAAGCCUGACCGAGCAACGCCGCGUGAGUGAAGAAGGGUUUCGGCUCGUAAAACUCUGUUGCCAGAGAAGAACGGCGGGUAGAGUAACUGCUACAGUCUUGACGGUAUCUUAUCAGAAAGCCACGGCUAACUACGUGCCAGCAGCCGCGGUAA